UACCAGACUCCUACGGGAGGCAGCAGUGGGGGAUAUUGCACAAUGGGGGAAACCCUGAUGCAGCGACGCCGCGUGGGCGAAGAAGUAUUUCGGUAUGUAAAGCCCUAUCAGCAGGGAAGAAGAAAUGACGGUACCUGACCAAGAAGCCCCGGCUAACUACGUGCCAGCAGCCGCGGUAAUACGUAGGGGGCAAGCGUUAUCCGGAUUUACUGGGUGUAAAGGGGGCGCAGACGGCAAUGCAAGCCAGGAGUGAAAGCCCGGGGCCCAACCCCGGGACUGCUCUUGGAACUGCAUGGCUGGAGUACAGGAGGGGCAGGCGGAAUUCCUAGUGUAGCGGUGAAAUGCGUAGAUAUUAGGAGGAACACCGGUGGCGAAGGCGGCCUGCUGGACUGUGACUGACGUUGAGGCGCGAAAGCGUGGGUAGCGAACGGGAUUAGAUACCCCGGUA
RNAcentral lists this ribosomal RNA (448 nucleotides) under uncultured bacterium. Its description in RNAcentral is "partial 16S ribosomal RNA". It matches the Rfam family "Bacterial small subunit ribosomal RNA", at positions 329 to 792 of the family's 1533-position model. The record is from RNAcentral.